GAAACGUAUUAAAUGCAGUGCAAUGAAAUAAACGUGUCGAUUAGAAUGACAUAAAUGAAGAUGCAAUAAAAUGAAAAGAUAUCAAUGCAGCCCGUUCACAUAGGCUAAACUUGCAAUGUAUUUAACAUGCAGUGACAGCACUAAAUGCACUGAAAUGAAACGAACGUAUCGAUGAGAAUUACAUAAAUGAAGAUGCAAUGAAACGAAAAGAUAUCACAGCAAACCGUUCAAAUAGGCUGAACUGGCAAUAGAAUUAACAUGUAAUGACAGCUGAAAGGGGCUUGCAUGGAAAGGCCGAACAACUGCGAGAACUCGACGUAGUGACGUCAACAAGAAGCGGCGAAAGUCAUUCAUUUAAUUUCAGCUUCAUUACGGCUGUGAACUGUUGCGUACCAAAAUAUAAUGGAAAUUACACAGCAGAAAACAAAGUUCAUGUCUUCAAAUUUACUAACGACGAUCUAAUAAGACAUACGAGGCUCCAUUCAAUUCCAUAUCAGGAUAUCGUAGUUACUAAUUAUUCAGUACCUACCUAUCUUCAGCUGCAGGAAACCCAGAAGAGCGACCGCAAGAGAAAAGGAUAACGUUGGAGGGAGGAAGCAGUAUUGUUGGAAAGCCUGAAGAUUAGUGUUUCCAGCCAUAAUGAGUAUUUAAAAAGAAUUUCACAUAAAAACCUUGAGGAACUGAAACAUAAAACAAACGCAAUAUCUUUCCAGAAGAAUUCGGUGAAAAUAGUGGAAGAAUAGUGAAUUAUUCUUGGGAGUAUCGAUCUAUCUGUGAGUUUCCACUAUGUAGUGAUUGGUAAUCAUUUGAAAGUGGAGGUCUGUUCAAAAUGAGUUUCGUUAAACAAAGUUCUUGUCACAGAAAAUGGUGUGAAUGCAACUGACUAUGAUGUGCACACCUCAGUGUUUUUGUAUGAAAAUAUUAUUUGGAAAUUUGUGAAUGUUUUACUAAACAACUA
This is a long non-coding RNA of Schistocerca americana (American grasshopper), 958 nucleotides long. RefSeq lists it as uncharacterized. Lineage: Eukaryota; Metazoa; Arthropoda; Insecta; Orthoptera; Acrididae. The record is from RefSeq and is a predicted model, not a curated record. The transcript has 3 exons.